GGGUUGUGAGGUUAAGCGACUAAGCGUACACGGUGGAUGCCCUGGCAGUCAGAGGCGAUGAAGGACGUGCUAAUCUGCGAUAAGCGUCGGUAAGGUGAUAUGAACCGUUAUAACCGGCGAUUUCCGAAUGGGGAAACCCAGUGUGAUUCGUCACACUAUCAUUAACUGAAUCCAUAGGUUAAUGAGGCGAACCGGGGGAACUGAAACAUCUAAGUACCCCGAGGAAAAGAAAUCAACCGAGAUUCCCCCAGUAGCGGCGAGCGAACGGGGAGCAGCCCAGAGCCUGAAUCAGUGUGUGUGUUAGUGGAAGCGUCUGGAAAGGCGCGCGAUACAGGGUGACAGCCCCGUACACAAAAAUGCACAUAUUGUGAGCUCGAUGAGUAGGGCGGGACACGUGGUAUCCUGUCUGAAUAUGGGGGGACCAUCCUCCAAGGCUAAAUACUCCUGACUGACCGAUAGUGAACCAGUACCGUGAGGGAAAGGCGAAAAGAACCCCGGCGAGGGGAGUGAAAAAGAACCUGAAACCGUGUACGUACAAGCAGUGGGAGCACGCUUAGGCGUGUGACUGCGUACCUUUUGUAUAAUGGGUCAGCGACUUAUAUUCUGUAGCAAGGUUAACCGAAUAGGGGAGCCGAAGGGAAACCGAGUCUUAACUGGGCGUUAAGUUGCAGGGUAUAGACCCGAAACCCGGUGAUCUAGCCAUGGGCAGGUUGAAGGUUGGGUAACACUAACUGGAGGACCGAACCGACUAAUGUUGAAAAAUUAGCGGAUGACUUGUGGCUGGGGGUGAAAGGCCAAUCAAACCGGGAGAUAGCUGGUUCUCCCCGAAAGCUAUUUAGGUAGCGCCUCGUGAAUUCAUCUCCGGGGGUAGAGCACUGUUUCGGCAAGGGGGUCAUCCCGACUUACCAACCCGAUGCAAACUGCGAAUACCGGAGAAUGUUAUCACGGGAGACACACGGCGGGUGCUAACGUCCGUCGUGAAGAGGGAAACAACCCAGACCGCCAGCUAAGGUCCCAAAGUCAUGGUUAAGUGGGAAACGAUGUGGGAAGGCCCAGACAGCCAGGAUGUUGGCUUAGAAGCAGCCAUCAUUUAAAGAAAGCGUAAUAGCUCACUGGUCGAGUCGGCCUGCGCGGAAGAUGUAACGGGGCUAAACCAUGCACCGAAGCUGCGGCAGCGACGCUUAUGCGUUGUUGGGUAGGGGAGCGUUCUGUAAGCCUGCGAAGGUGUGCUGUGAGGCAUGCUGGAGGUAUCAGAAGUGCGAAUGCUGACAUAAGUAACGAUAAAGCGGGUGAAAAGCCCGCUCGCCGGAAGACCAAGGGUUCCUGUCCAACGUUAAUCGGGGCAGGGUGAGUCGACCCCUAAGGCGAGGCCGAAAGGCGUAGUCGAUGGGAAACAGGUUAAUAUUCCUGUACUUGGUAUUACUGCGAAGGGGGGACGGAGAAGGCUAUGUUGGCCGGGCGACGGUUGUCCCGGUUUAAGCGUGUAGGCUGGUUUUCCAGGCAAAUCCGGAAAAUCAAGGCUGAGGCGUGAUGACGAGGCACUACGGUGCUGAAGCAACAAAUGCCCUGCUUCCAGGAAAAGCCUCUAAGCAUCAGGUAACAUCAAAUCGUACCCCAAACCGACACAGGUGGUCAGGUAGAGAAUACCAAGGCGCUUGAGAGAACUCGGGUGAAGGAACUAGGCAAAAUGGUGCCGUAACUUCGGGAGAAGGCACGCUGAUAUGUAGGUGAAGUCCCUUGCGGAUGGAGCUGAAAUCAGUCGAAGAUACCAGCUGGCUGCAACUGUUUAUUAAAAACACAGCACUGUGCAAACACGAAAGUGGACGUAUACGGUGUGACGCCUGCCCGGUGCCGGAAGGUUAAUUGAUGGGGUCAGCGCAAGCGAAGCUCUUGAUCGAAGCCCCGGUAAACGGCGGCCGUAACUAUAACGGUCCUAAGGUAGCGAAAUUCCUUGUCGGGUAAGUUCCGACCUGCACGAAUGGCGUAAUGAUGGCCAGGCUGUCUCCACCCGAGACUCAGUGAAAUUGAACUCGCUGUGAAGAUGCAGUGUACCCGCGGCAAGACGGAAAGACCCCGUGAACCUUUACUAUAGCUUGACACUGAACAUUGAGCCUUGAUGUGUAGGAUAGGUGGGAGGCUUUGAAGUGUGGACGCCAGUCUGCAUGGAGCCGGCCUUGAAAUACCACCCUUUAAUGUUUGAUGUUCUAACGUGGACCCGUGAUCCGGGUUGCGGACAGUGUCUGGUGGGUAGUUUGACUGGGGCGGUCUCCUCCUAAAGAGUAACGGAGGAGCACGAAGGUUGGCUAAUCCUGGUCGGACAUCAGGAGGUUAGUGCAAUGGCAUAAGCCAGCUUGACUGCGAGCGUGACGGCGCGAGCAGGUGCGAAAGCAGGUCAUAGUGAUCCGGUGGUUCUGAAUGGAAGGGCCAUCGCUCAACGGAUAAAAGGUACUCCGGGGAUAACAGGCUGAUACCGCCCAAGAGUUCAUAUCGACGGCGGUGUUUGGCACCUCGAUGUCGGCUCAUCACAUCCUGGGGCUGAAGUAGGUCCCAAGGGUAUGGCUGUUCGCCAUUUAAAGUGGUACGCGAGCUGGGUUUAGAACGUCGUGAGACAGUUCGGUCCCUAUCUGCCGUGGGCGCUGGAGAACUGAGGGGGGCUGCUCCUAGUACGAGAGGACCGGAGUGGACGCAUCACUGGUGUUCGGGUUGUCAUGCCAAUGGCACUGCCCGGUAGCUAAAUGCGGAAGAGAUAAGUGCUGAAAGCAUCUAAGCACGAAACUUGCCCCGAGAUGAGUUCUCCCUGACCCUUUAAGGGUCCUGAAGGAACGUUGAAGACGACGACGUUGAUAGGCCGGGUGUGUAAGCGCAGCGAUGCGUUGAGCUAACCGGUACUAAUGAACCGUGAGGCUUAACCUUACAACGCCGAAG
Molecule: ribosomal RNA, 2925 nt
Filed under: Shigella sonnei
Lineage: Bacteria; Pseudomonadati; Pseudomonadota; Gammaproteobacteria; Enterobacterales; Enterobacteriaceae
Description: 23S ribosomal RNA
Rfam family: Bacterial large subunit ribosomal RNA
Source: RNAcentral